Paralichthys olivaceus (Japanese flounder) is the source of this 392-nucleotide non-coding RNA. The record is from RefSeq and is a predicted model, not a curated record. NCBI's taxonomy places the organism in Eukaryota, Metazoa, Chordata, Actinopteri, Pleuronectiformes, Paralichthyidae.
GCCGCGAGGCAGAGAAGUCCAGGAUGGCGGGACUCUGCUAACAUCUGCUGGAGAAAAGCUUGAACGACACGGGGACGACGUGGAGACGAGUUAUUGCGACCCUCGAAGCCAAUGGUCUGUCUUGUUUGAGACCACCAAAGGAAGUUGGAGAGGAGGGAUGGAUUUGGUGCUGAGAUGGACGUAUUUCCCACAGUCCUCGGUGCAAGAAAUUGCUGAGAUCAGCUGAACGGUGCACCUGGCAUGUUCUCCCUGGUCUGAUACAAAGACAUGCAAUCAACACAAAGAGAAAAAAAAACAGCAAUGUAUUUACAAUUUACAAAGAAUCACUUCUCUGUCAAAAUAGCACUUAUAAAUAUGAUUUACAUAACAAAAUAAAUAUGUAAAUUACCAAU